AACACUUAGCCAAAUUUCUAGUUUGUCCGCCAACUUAAAACUUAGCUCAUCUUUUUUUUCCCUAAAAAACAACAUUUAUACAAAAAAAAAAAAAAAUUCAAUUCAUUUAUCCCUAAUCUAAAUCGAAGAAAAUUUUUCCUCUUCUCUCCACUUCUCCUCUCUCUCCGAUCUCUACUCUCCCUCUCAGUCUCCGUCUCUCUCCACGUCCGCUUCAUCGGCGAUUUCUCUUCCUCCGCCGCCACCACUUUCUCCUCCAUCAUCUCAGCCGCCGUCACCAGAGGUGGCCAUUCACGAGGUUGCCAAACUGAGUCUCAUGACCAGCAGCUCGCCAAAGCCUUGACCUUUCCUCACUUAAUCGCAAUUGGUGUUGUAUCAACAAUUGGAGCAGGGGUUUAUAUUCUUGUGGGAACAGUGGGGAGAGAGCAUUCAGGACCUGCUCUAGCCUUUUCAUUCUUUAUAGCUGGUGUUUCUGUAGCACUCUCUAGCCUUUUUCCUUCAGCUGGAAGUGCCUAUCACUACUCUUACAUUUGCUUUGGUGAAGAGUAUCAUUUCACUUGCUUGUUUAGUUAUCUAGCAGUUUGUUGCGGUUUCAUUAACCACUCGUUGAAGGAUUUGGAGCCUUUAAUGUUUUGCUUUUGAAUUUUGUGGGAUUCUGCAUAGUUGCGUGGUUAAUUGGCUGACACUGAUUCUGGAAUACACUCUUGGUGGUUCAACUGGCGGAGGGAGAAGAAGAAGAAGCCAUUAUCUGAUUACGCGUCUGAGAGACGGGGCGAUGUUAUUCGAAGAUCUCAUCGAAUGUUGCGAUGGCAAACUCAAUCCCGUCAAAUUCUUUUCUGCUGAUGAGAUCCGCAAAGCGACCAACAAUUUCAGCGACUCGAAUCAUAUUUCUGAAUUAUCUGAUUUUGGCUACGAAUGGUAUUCAGGUCAAACAGAGAACCAUCACAAAAUAUUCAUCGAUAAAGUUGUAAGAAGGUCCAAAUUUGAUGAAGUUUACUUUGACACGACAUAGCAGUUUCAUCGAUGGUGAGUGGUCACAAAAGCUUCAGGAAAUUGAUUGGAUGUUGUCUUGAGUUUGCUGGUCGAGUCACAGUUCUUUGCCUACAUUGGAUUUGAUUCAGUUGCAAAUAUGGCAGACGAGGUUAAAGAUUGUGAUGCUAAACUUAGAUAGAAUACUUGCAAGAAUGUGGGACGAAAUGGGGACUUGUGAGAGUUUAGUAUAUGAGACUUGUGAGUUGUGACAAUUUUUAUUAUAUUUAGCAUUUUGCAUCUUUUUAUAGGAAAUGUAUUCUGAAUUAUGCAAAUUUUAUACUACUAACGGUUUGUGAUAAUUCAAUAAAAUAAGUUAGAGAUUUUUUUUA
Molecule: long non-coding RNA, 1358 nt
Organism: Camelina sativa (false flax)
Lineage: Eukaryota; Viridiplantae; Streptophyta; Magnoliopsida; Brassicales; Brassicaceae
Source: RefSeq, a predicted model, not a curated record